This 487-nucleotide ribosomal RNA is filed under the name uncultured Bacteroidota bacterium. Its description in RNAcentral is "bacterial SSU rRNA". It matches the Rfam family "Bacterial small subunit ribosomal RNA", at positions 355 to 843 of the family's 1533-position model. The record is from RNAcentral. Lineage: Bacteria; Pseudomonadati; Bacteroidota.
UAGGGAAUAUUGGUCAAUGGGUGAGAGCCUGAACCAGCCAUGCCGCGUGCAGGAAGAAGGCCUUCUGGGUUGUAAACUGCUUUUGCCAGGGGAUAAAAAUACCUUGCGAGGUAAAUUGAAGGUACCUGGUGAAUAAGCCACGGCUAACUACGUGCCAGCAGCCGCGGUAAUACGUAGGUGGCAAGCGUUGUCCGGAUUUAUUGGGUUUAAAGGGUGCGUAGGCGGCCCUGUAAGUCAGUGCUGAAAUAUCCCAGCUUAACUGGGAGGGUGGCAUUGAUACUGCGGGGCUAGAGUACAGAUGAGGUAGGCGGAAUUGACGGUGUAGCGGUGAAAUGCUUAGAUAUCGUCAAGAACACCUAUAGCGAAGGCAGCUUACUAGGCUGUAACUGACGCUGAGGCACGAAAGUGUGGGGAUCAAACAGGAUUAGAUACCCUGGUAGUCCACACUGUAAACGUUGAUUACUCGCUGUGUGCGAUAUACAGUACG